AAAAGUAGGGUUUCAAAAAUUAUGGUUCCAAGCUCUCUUAACUUUAAGAAGCUUUCUCUUUAGCAGAGUCAUGUUCAAAACUGAUUCAACAUUGUGUUUCCUAGUUCCAAGCUUUGAGUUUUCACACCACAUCACCACCAUAACCACCUAUCUCACCUUAUCCUCCAUGCUCGAUUCCUCCAGCCACCAUGGAUAGGAUAGAUUCGUUGAGGGAUCCUCGUCAGAUCUCGUGAAUGUUUUGGUCUUCGAGUUGGAGAAGCUGUUUUUAGUGAUGGGUCUGGUAGUAGUGUUAGGUAUAUAUAUAUAUAUAUAUAUAUGAAACUUCUCAUGUGUAAUGUUUUUAGUGGAUCCUUAAAAAAGAAAAAUAUGUUAAAAAACAAAUCUGAACACGUAGUAUUUAUUUAUUAUAUACUAAACACAACGCAACAGUCAUGAGACAAAUGUAAAAUAACAGGGUUUUCAAAGAUUAGGGUUUCAGGCUUUCUUCA
Molecule: long non-coding RNA, 488 nt
Organism: Medicago truncatula (barrel medic)
Lineage: Eukaryota; Viridiplantae; Streptophyta; Magnoliopsida; Fabales; Fabaceae
Exons: 2
Source: RefSeq, a predicted model, not a curated record